GUGGACUGACUGCAAACUCACUGGGCAGAAAAAGGAUGGCAUCGCAGUCCUGAAGGGAAAAGAAUCCAAUAGAAUGUAAGGGAGGGCGCUGGAGGAGGGCCAAGUCCAAAGCUACCCAGGUAGAGCCAGCACACAAGCCGAUUCAGUUCAGUUCUUGGGGCUGCCUCUUAGGAAAGACACUGAUAAACUACAGAGUCCCCAGAGGAGGGCAACCAGAUUGGGGGAGAGAGUGGAGAGCUCUGGAAGGAACUUAAGCAGAAUGGAUUGGGGGUGCCGUGGGCAGGAGCUGAGGGAGGGGUUCAACCCUUUUCUGCUUAGUUCUAAGGAGAAGAACCAGAAGGUACAGGGGGAACCAACAGUCAGAUGGCCCAGAUGCCUGGCUUGCAAUGGAUGCCCCGGUCGGGUGGGAAAGAGGAAGUCCUGAUUCUCAAUUUUCCGAACCUUGUGUAUUCCCUCCGGAGAGGGGCAGAGGCAAUGCCCAGCGUGCCAGCGCAUCCAGAAGGACCCGGAAGCUGGCCCAAUCGUAGGUGCUCUCUGAUGGAAGAGAAGUGUCCAGAGUCUUGGCAAGUGGAUGGAAAGACGAAAUCAGGAUGCUGACAAUGGACCCCAUUGCAGGGGUUGACUUUGGCAUCUUCAAUGUUUGACCAAGUUCUAAGAGUUUCCGAGCACCUACAGAAAUCAAGUUCCUUUAUGGAGAGAAGUGUACCCUGGGAACUCAGAUGAGAGAAUUACCUCUUGGACAAUCUAGAGGAGGGGUGUAUGGUGUGUUCAGGGAAGACUAGCACCUCUAAGGUGAGGGUGGAUGGAACCCUUUCCAGGGCUGCUUUCCUCCUUUGGUUCUCCCCUGUGGCUCCAAGAAGCUUUAUCAUGGUGUGUCCACACUCUGGUAAACCAUCUUGGUAGAUGAGCUAAACCAGGCUGAGGGUAACUGUCACUGAGUUAGUGGGGUAUCUUCCCCAGGCAUGUGAAGACUUCCCCUGGCAGAAGGGGUGGAUUCAAACAAUUUUUUUUUAAUUUUAAUUUUUAUCUUUAUUUUAUUUUUUCCCUCAUGGUUACAUGAUUCCUGUUGUCUCCCUCUCCUCUUCACUCUCCCCUCCUGGAGCUGACAAGCAAUUCCACUGGGUUAUACAUGUAUUAUGUGUUUUAAUUUAAAAUCCAAGAUUUUUAAUUUUUGUUUGAGAUUGUAUUUUUAUAAAAAUCCAAGAUUUUGAUUUUGUUCGAAAAAAGAUCUUCAAGGAAAGAAGCUUGCUAAGUCCUAAAUCCAGAGAAUUGUUGCAGAAAGAUGCCGGAAAACCCAGACUACAUCAAGAAAAUCAAGAAUGAACUUUGGAUAUAGUUGAUUGAACUGAAGUUUGAUUGGAUAUUUAUUGUAAAUGUACACUUUUAUGCCAAAAGGGACUGCCCCUAAUUUGGCUUUCUGUCAAUGAGCCCAGCAAAACAUUGGUUUUGCUUUCUUUCUUUUCUAUUCCUCCCUCACUACUCUAAUUUCCUUUUAGAAAAUUGAAUAUUGUGUGUAUCUAUAGUUAGAAGUGUGUUUAGGACUACAAGAUGGUUACGUUAAAUGAUCAAUGGGGAGACUAGUCUCCCAAUGAUCAAC
Long non-coding RNA from Monodelphis domestica (gray short-tailed opossum), 1597 nucleotides. The record is from Ensembl. NCBI's taxonomy places the organism in Eukaryota, Metazoa, Chordata, Mammalia, Didelphimorphia, Didelphidae.